GGGUCUUUCGUGCCAAGCGGUGCUUUGUUUGCUCUCUUGUUGGCUUCGAUUGCUUCAUAGAGUUGUUUUCUCUCAAUGGGGUGGUCUGUUGUUGACUUGUGGGUGCAUAAUGCAAUACGUGCAGGCGCAUGAGUGGUGUUUUGCUUGUGUUGGUUGGUUGGAUCCUUGCUCUGGCAACGACGUCCAACCUCACAUGCAUCUUCAGUCGGGUCUCGAGAUACAUGUUAUCUCGGGUGUUGUAUUGGUUUCUUGUGUUGCGUACCUUAUGCGAUGGUAAUCGGUAGUCUAAAUGUUCCAUUUCGCCUUUCGUUGUCCCUUCUGGGUUGAUGUAGGGUGAACCACGAAGUAAUCUCCGUGUCCCACCCCACUCACAUUAGAUUGUGCUUGUGGAUUGGUCCAUGGGGUAUUUGCUUGGACUCUCGGAUGCGGUGCACUAUAUACGGGCAUGAGGUCUUGUGACCUCUGUUUGUCCUAACAAAAGCUUUCAUCGCUUGGUUGCGAACGAUUGCGAUCCCCGUUUCGAGCCUUCGGGCGAGUGCGGUGAUGGCUUCGUUGAGGAAUGC
RNAcentral lists this unclassified non-coding RNA (563 nucleotides) under Eremocarya micrantha. Its description in RNAcentral is "partial external transcribed spacer". The record is from RNAcentral. Lineage: Eukaryota; Viridiplantae; Streptophyta; Magnoliopsida; Boraginales; Boraginaceae.